RNAcentral lists this ribosomal RNA (403 nucleotides) under uncultured bacterium. Its description in RNAcentral is "bacterial SSU rRNA". It matches the Rfam family "Bacterial small subunit ribosomal RNA", at positions 29 to 416 of the family's 1533-position model. The record is from RNAcentral.
AACGAACGUUGGCGGCGUGGAUGAGGCAUGCAAGUCGAGCGUGAAACCCCGCAAGGGGGAGUAAAGCGGCGAAAGGGUGAGUAAUACGUAAUCAACCUACCCUCGAGACUGGGAUAACCAUGGGAAACUGUGGCUAAUACCGGAUAGUCUAUUCGAACUGCAUGGUUUGAAUAGUAAACGAUAGGGAUCCUUCGGGACCUUUUGCUCGUGGAGGGGAUUGCGGCCCAUCAGCUAGUUGGCGGGGUAACGGCCCACCAAGGCGAUGACGGGUAGCAGGCCUGAGAGGGUGGUCUGCCACAUUGGGACUGAGACACUGCCCAGACUCCUACGGGAGGCUGCAGUCGAGGAUCUUCCGCAAUGGGCGCAAGCCUGACGGNGCGACGCCGCGUGGAGGAUGAAGGCC